UGAAUACGAGAUGCUACGGCGUCGAAGCAGUCUAUGUCAUACUUCCAAGAAAAGCUUGCACUGUCAUAAACAAAUAAUGCCUGUACCAUAACCGACACAGGUGGGUAGGUAGAGUAUACUAAGGGGCGCGAGAUAACUCUCUCUAAGGAACUCAGCAAAAUGACUCCGUAACUUCGGGAGAAGGAGUGCCUUAUUUAUAAGGUUGCAAUAACAAGAUCCAAGCAACUGUUUACCAAAAACACAGGUCUCCGCUAAGUCGUAAGACGAUGUAUGGGGGCUGACGCCUGCCCAGUGCCAGAAGGUUAAAGAAGUUGGUUAGCAUCCGCGAAGCUGAUAACUGAAGCCCUGGUGAACGGCGGCCGUAACAAUAACGGUCCUAAGGUAGCGAAAUUCCUUGUCGGGUAAGUUCCGACCCGCACGAAAGGCGUAAUGAUUUGGAUACUGUCUCGGAGAGGGGCUCGGUGAAAUAGACUUGUCUGUGAAGAUGCGGACUACCUGCACCAGGACAGAAAGACCCUAUGAAGCUUUACUGUAACCUGAAAUUGAAAUUGGACUUUACUUGCGCAGUAUAGGUGGGAGGCGUUGAGAAUAUUCUUGCGGGAUUAUUGGAGCCAUCAGUGAGAUACCACUCUUGUAAUGUUAGAUUUCUAACUUUGUAUCAUUAUCUGGUCAAAGAACAGUUUCAGGCGGGCAGUUUGACUGGGGCGGUCGCCUCCUAAACGGUAACGGAGGCGCACAAAGGUUUCCUCUGAACGGGUAGAAAUCGUAUCUAGAGUGUAAAGGCAUAAGGAAGCUUGACUGUGAGACCUACAAGUCGAGCAGGGACGAAAGUCGGUCUUAGUGAUCUGACGGUGCUGAGUGGAAAGGCCGUCACUCAACGGAUAAAAGUUACUCUAGGAUAACAGGCUGAUCUCCCCCAAGAGUUCACAUCGACGGGGAGGUUUGGCACCUCGAUGUCGGCUCAUCGCAUCCUGGGGCGGUAGUACGUCCCAAGGGUUGGGCUGUUCGCCCAUGAAAGCGGUACGCGAGCUGGGUUCAGAACGUCGUGAGACAGUUCGGUCCAUAUCCGGUGUAGGCGUUAGAAUAUUGAGAGGAGCCUUCUUUAGUACGAGAGGACCGAGAAGGACAUACCUCUGGUGUACCAAUUAUCGUGCCAACGGUAAACGCUGGGUAGCUAUGUGUGGAGUGGAUAACCGCUGAAAGCAUCUAAGUGGGAAGCCCACCUCAAGAUAAG
RNAcentral lists this ribosomal RNA (1234 nucleotides) under metagenome. RNAcentral's name for it is "bacterial LSU rRNA". It matches the Rfam family "Bacterial large subunit ribosomal RNA", at positions 1564 to 2808 of the family's 2925-position model. The record is from RNAcentral.